This is a non-coding RNA of Cucurbita pepo subsp. pepo (vegetable marrow), 253 nucleotides long. NCBI's taxonomy places the organism in Eukaryota, Viridiplantae, Streptophyta, Magnoliopsida, Cucurbitales, Cucurbitaceae. The record is from RefSeq and is a predicted model, not a curated record.
CUCUCCCUACCAGGCGCGUUUUAAAAACCUUGAGCGUAAGCCCAAAAAGGAUAGUAUCUGCUAGCGGUGGGCCUAGGCCGUUACACCAAGUGAGGAAUAUAAAUUAAAUCCCGUUGAAUAAUGGAUUUGAAAGUUCAUGGAGUAUGCCAGCAUUUAGGUGAAAUGUGAAGACUCUACUUCUUAUUGCUGAACAAAUGGUUGAUGUUGUGGAUGAAAUGCAUGAUAGAGAUGGUGGAAUUAUUAGUAUACCAAA